AGCGUUUCGUCCGGGCCUCGAGUCUC
RNAcentral lists this non-coding RNA (26 nucleotides) under Cricetulus griseus (Chinese hamster). The record is from RNAcentral. Lineage: Eukaryota; Metazoa; Chordata; Mammalia; Rodentia; Cricetidae.